This 18-nucleotide small nuclear RNA is filed under the name Arabidopsis thaliana (thale cress). RNAcentral's name for it is "snRNA_00341". Lineage: Eukaryota; Viridiplantae; Streptophyta; Magnoliopsida; Brassicales; Brassicaceae. The record is from RNAcentral.
CGUCGCUGCCGUGAUCGU